Molecule: non-coding RNA, 1658 nt
Organism: Elaeis guineensis (African oil palm)
Lineage: Eukaryota; Viridiplantae; Streptophyta; Magnoliopsida; Arecales; Arecaceae
Source: RefSeq, a predicted model, not a curated record
UAAUAUUCUAUUGCCUGCCUCUUGUCUCCUCUCUCCUCUCCACUGCCCAACCCCCGCUCUCUCGAAUUCUAGGGUUCCCUAUUCGCCGAUCUGGUGAACCAAUCAUUGGUCGCCAAAUCUAGGGUGUCCGCAUCGGCUUUUCUUUAAACCCUUUCCGGAAACCUUGAUUGAAUGCGGUCUUGGAGAAGACUUGCUUCCGUCGUUUGAUUUCCGAGGAAUCGGUCCCAUCCCACGAGUAUACCAAAAAAAAAAAAACGAUUUUCGUUCUGCUUUGUUGGAUCAAUCUUCAAUUUGUUGAAUUUUUGUUCAUUUCUUCUAUCAAAGGCUUCAAGAUUUGGGGAGGGAUCGAGAGUGAGAGAGAGAGAGAGAGAGAGAGAGAGUUAGGGAUGAGCGAAAACCCUAACCCACCAGUGGACGUGAAGCCGGCGGCUGGCGGCCGCUUUGCGGGCCAUCACAUCCAUAAGCCGGUGGCUGCCCACCAUGUCCUCCCGGUCGUGGCGAUGCCUGCACAGAUUGACGACGGCGGUGGAGGCGGUGGAGAGUCGCAGUUGAUCGCCGCAGCCGACGCGCAGGCUCUUCGGCAGUACGAGGAGGCGGAGCACCACAGCGGUGUCGGUGUACAUGGGAUGGAGGAGGAUCGGGAUGUGGGGGGGGAUGGCGAGGGCAUGGAGGCGGAUGGUCAGGUCGAUCCGAGCAAUAUGGGGGACCCUCAUGCGGUGAUUGUCCACCAAGUCGGUGGCAACCAGCUUACACUCUCGUUCCAGGGUGAGGUCUAUGUGUUCGACUCCGUCUCCCCCGAAAAGGUUCAGGCCGUGCUUCUGUUGCUGGGAGAACGCGAGAUGAACGCUGCUUUAAAUUCUUUUCCAUCAUCUUCCCAUAUGCAUAACAAGCGCACAAAUUUUCCUCAUAGAGUCGCAUCGCUGAUGAGGUUUCGGGAGAAGAGGAAAGAGCGAAACUUUGACAAGAGAAUACGAUACAAUGUUCGCAAAGAGGUUGCCCUCAGGAUGCAACGAAACAAGGGCCAAUUCAUAUCAUCCAAAUCAAAGCCUGAAGAUUCAACAUCUGGUGUGACCAGUUGGGAUACUACCCAACAAUGGGGCUCACAGGAGAAUCGGCCACCUGCAGCGUCUGCAUGCCAUCAUUGUGGCAUUAGUGCAAAGUCUACACCAAUGAUGCGCCGUGGACCUGACGGACCGAGGACCUUAUGCAAUGCAUGUGGACUAGUGUGGGCAAAUAAGCUCUAGGCCUCACAGCAGAAUAUUGGUGUUGGCUUAAACUGGGAAUAAUGAGGGAUCUUUCAAAAAAUCCAUCUCCAGCCAUUCCAAAUGCCUUGUCGGAACCCAGGGAAGGGAAUAAUUCUGCUGAAUCAGGAGCUGCAGAACCGCUUGCGAUGACUGCCAAUGGUCAUGAUUCGUCGUGAGAAGUCCCGUGCUUUUGGCAUUAAGGAUUCCAAUGAAGAUAUGAAUAUUUAGUUGGGGAACUCGUCCCUUAAUGGCUUCUCAAGAUUGUAGAAUAUUGUCACACAUGUAUGUACAAUAUUAUCAGAAUAUUAGAUAUAGAAAUUUUCUUUGUUUUUUGUGGUCCCUAAGACUGUAACUUUGAUAAUAAUUUAAUUGUUAUGGAAAGAGUCACAGUUACACAUUCUAGUUUUCUCAAAC